CAGCAGCCGCGGUAAUACGUAGGGUGCGAGCGUUAAUCGGAUUUACUGGGCGUAAAGCGUGCGCAGGCGGCCCGUUAAGACAGGUGUGAAAUCCCUGGGCUCAACCUAGGAAUUGCGCUUGUGACUGGCGGGCUCGAGUACGGUAGAGGGGGGUGGAAUUCCUGGUGUAGCAGUGAAAUGCGUAGAGAUCAGGAGGAACACCGAUGGCGAAGGCAGCCCCCUGGGCCUGUACUGACGCUCAUGCACGAAAGCGUGGGGAGCAAACAGGAUUAGAUACCCUGGUAGUCCACGCCAUAAACGAUGGGUACUAGCCGUUUGGUGCGCGAUAGCGCUGAGUGGCGAAGCUAACGCGUGAAGUACCCCGCCUGGGGAGUACGGCCGCAAGGUUGAAACUUAAAGGAAUUGGCGGG
This 410-nucleotide ribosomal RNA is filed under the name uncultured microorganism. RNAcentral describes it as "bacterial SSU rRNA". It matches the Rfam family "Bacterial small subunit ribosomal RNA", at positions 509 to 917 of the family's 1533-position model. The record is from RNAcentral.